RNAcentral lists this long non-coding RNA (2486 nucleotides) under Sus scrofa (pig). RNAcentral's name for it is "lncRNA (ENSSSCG00030040901.1)". Lineage: Eukaryota; Metazoa; Chordata; Mammalia; Artiodactyla; Suidae. The record is from RNAcentral.
AGAGAAAAUCUGUGAUUGCAGUGAGCUUCAUAGCAGCGUUCCUCUUCCUGCUGGUUGUGCGCCUUGUAAAUGAAGCGAAUUUCCCAUUGCUACUAAACUGCUUUGGACAACCUGGUACAAAAUGGAUACCAUUCUCCUAUACGUACAGACGGCCCCUUCGAACUCACUAUGGAUACAUAAAUGUGAGGACGCAAGAGGCAAAGGAAGACACUGAGAAUGCCUUGGUCAGCAUCCUCCAGUCAAUGGUUUCAUGGAGGCUUCAUCUGUUCCAGUGGUAAAGCUCAUUGACCACACUUGCUGCAUCCACUGCAUGCUGGCCUCUGUGCUAGGCUCUGGAAUUGUAAAGAAGAAAACACUUUUUGUCUAAAAGUACAGAACAGUUUUUCAUAAUGUUAACUGGUAAUAAACGAGAUGGAGUAGUAUGUGUAGAGGGUUAUUUUAACUCUUUUUUUUUUUUUUUUUUUUUUUUUUUUUUUUUGUCUUUUGUCUUGUUGUUGUUGUUGUUGCUAUUUCUUGGGCCGCUCCCGCGGCACAUGGAGGUUCCCAGGCUAGGGGUUGAAGCGGAGCUGUAGCCACCGGCCUACGCCAGAGCCACAGCAACGCGGGAUCCGAGUCGCGUCUGCAACCUACACCACAGCUCACGGCAACGCCGGAUCGUUAACCCACUGAGCAAGGGCAGGGACCGAACCCGCAACCUCAUGGUUCCUAGUCGGAUUCGUUAACCACUGCGCCACGACGGGAACUCCCUAUUUUAACUCUUUAAAUGUAGACACAGAAAGAAGGUUUGGAGACAGUCCCUGGAAAUAUGAACUGUAGUCUAUGAGUCUAUGUCUAGAGUCUAUGUCUGGGUGGUAAAUUUUAGAUAACCUUUUUCUUCAACUUGUUUUCCAAUUUUUAUACAGUGAUCAGGUAUUGUAUUUAUUACUAGAACAAAUUACUAGAAUCAAGUACUUUAUUUUUAUUGUUUUAGCAGUAUCUAUCUGUGAAACACUCAAGCUGUUAAUAUUAUCUAGAAAAUAGAAUUUAAAAUGUCCAGAUACGAAGUCCUGUUGUGGUGCAGGGGGAUAAGGAUCCAGCUGCAGCAGCUUGGCUUACUGCUGCGGCAUGGAUUUUAUCCAGGGCGCUGGGACUUUCACAUGCCAUGGGUGCAGUCUAAAAAAUAAUUAAAUGUCCAGUAUAAGUAUAUUGUCGGAGUACUUUUAGAAGUGAGUACUCUUGGAGUUCCUGUCAUGGCUCAGUGAUAACCAACCCUGACUAGUAUCCAUGAGGACGUGGGUUCAGUCCCCAGCUUUGCUCAGUGUAUUAAGGAUCCAGCAUUGCUCUGAGAUGUGGUGUGGGCUGGUGCAUGCAGUUAGUAUCUCAUAUUGCUAUGGCUGUGGUGUAGGCUGGCAGCUACAGCUCUGAUUUUACCCCUAGCCUGGGAACUGCUAUAAGCGGGUUCAGCCCUUAAAACAAACAACUAUACAAGCAAAAAGACAAAAAUAAAAGGGCAAAAAUAAACCAGUGGGACCUAAUCAAAACUGUCAAGCUUUUGCACAGCAAAGGAAACCAUAAAAAAACCAAAAAGACAACCUAUGGAAUGGGAGAAAAUAGUUUCAAACGAAGCACCACUAAUUAUUAGAGAAAUACAAAUCAAAACUGCUUGAGGUACAACCUCACACUGGUCAGAAUGGCCAUCAUUAAUAAGUCAACAAAUAACAAAUGCUGGAGAGAAUGUGGAGAAAAGGAUACCGUCCUACACUGUUGGGAAUGUAAAUUGGUGCAAGCACUAUGGAAAACAGUAUGGAGGUACUCAGAAAACUAAGUAUAGAACUACCAUGUGACCCAGCAAUCCCACUCUUGGGCAUAUAUCUGGGUAAAACUUUCCUUGAAAAAGACAUAUGCACCUGUAUGUUCAUUGCAUCACUGUUCACAAUAGGCAAGACAUGGAAACAACCUAAAUGUCCAUCGACGGAUGAAUGGAUUAAGAACAUGUAGUAUAUAUACGCAAUAUAAUACUACUCGGCCAUAAAAAAGAACAAAAUAAUGCCAUAUGCAGCAACAUGGAUGGAACUAGAGACUCUCAUCCUGAAUGAAGUAAGUCAGAAAGAGAAAGCCAAAUGCCAUAUGACAUCACUUAUAUCUGGAAUCUAAUAUGUGGCACAAGUAAACCUUUCCACAGAAGAGAAACGCGUGGACUUGGAGAAGAGAUUUGUGGUUGCCAAGGCGGAGGGGGAGGGAGUGGAAUGAACUGGGAGUCUGGGGUUUAUAGAUGCAUUCUGUUGUAUUUGGAGUGGGUAAGCAAUGAGAUCCUGCUGUAUAGCACAGGGAACUAUAUCUAAUCACUUGUGAUGGAACAUGAUCGAUGCUAAUGUGAGAAAAAGAAUGUAUAUAGGUGUGUGUGUGUGACUGGGUCACUUUGCUGUACAGUAUAAAAUUGACAGAACACUGUAAACCAAUUAUAAUCAAAAAAUAAAAAUCAUUGAAAUUAAAAAAUAAUUUAAAAA